This is a long non-coding RNA of Homo sapiens (human), 754 nucleotides long. Ensembl annotates it as ITGA6 antisense RNA 1. Its record names the gene ITGA6-AS1. The record is from Ensembl. Lineage: Eukaryota; Metazoa; Chordata; Mammalia; Primates; Hominidae.
ACUUUUGGCUGAUGAAUACAAGAUACGCUCAUUCAUUCUCUUCAUUGCUAUGAAAUGAGUUUUUCCACAACCUCCUGCAGAACCUCAACACAUCACUAGGUGGCAACAUCCCUACACCAUAUCGGUUUAGAAACCACGGUUAGGAGGAGCAGCAAAACACGCGGCAUCCCAGUAUGAUUCAGAAGUAAAUACAGGCAAGCUGCCGGAGUGAACGCUGAGUGAGGGAAAGGAACGCACCAUCGUUAUCAAACUCGAUCCGCGUGCAUGGCCCCCGGGCGGUGAUGUCGCAGCUGUACAGCCCUCCCGUUCUGUUGGCUCUCUGCAGUGGAAGCGCUUCUGCCCGCGGGGCCCCCACGAGCAACCUGUUGAUGAAACAGAGACAAUUUGGAGAUUUGAAUUUAAUAUACGUUUAACAGUUAAAUCAGUCAGAACUAGGAGAUAGUGGGAUUAUUCUUUGUCUAGGAGUCCACUAAUUCUUCAACAGCUUAGGCAGUGAGUGAGAACAAAUGUAGAGUCCUAUGGCUGGUUCAUGCAAAACGCACAAACACAACUAAACAGGGGAAGCCAAAGAGGGGAUACCAAAACGAGGAAAAUAGGCCUGUCUCUCAUAGUAUCAGCAUUUCUUGCUGGGUAUGAUCUGGUGUUUAAAAGACACCCUCUUCAAAGAAUACAACCUCUAAGCCCCUAUGAUGCCAGGGAUAUCAUAUGAAACUCAAGAGAAGAAACCAAAUACUUGUGACAAUGGAAGGAAAAA